ACGAUGAAGAGUUUGAUCCUGGCUCAGGAUGAACGCUAGCGGCAGGCUUAACACAUGCAAGUCGAGGGGUAACAUUGUGCUUGCACAGAUGACGACCGGCGAACGGGUGCGUAACGCGUAUAGAAUCUACCUCUUACUAAGGGAUAGCCCAGAGAAAUUUGGAUUAAGACCUUAUAGUAUAUAAGACUGGCAUUCAGUUUUAUAUUAAAGAUUACGGUAAGAGAUGACUAUGGCGUCCUAUUAGCUAGAUGGGUGUGGUAACGGCACACCAUGGCAAGCGAUAGGUAGGGGGCCCUGAGAGGGGGAUCCCCCACACUGGUACUGAGACACGGACCAGACUCCUACGGGAGGCAGCAGUGAGGAAUAUUGGACAAUGGAGGCAACUCUGAUCCAGCCAUGCCGCGUGCAGGAUGACUGCCCUAUGGGUUUGUAAACUGCUUUUAUACAGGAAGAAACCAUCUCACGUGUGAGAUCUUGACGGUACUGUAAGAAUAAGGAUCGGCUAACUCCGUGCAGCAGCCGCGGUAAUACGGAGGAUCCAAGCGUUAUCCGGAAUCAUUGGGUUUAAAGGGUCCGUAGGUGGAUAAUUAAGUCAGAGGUGAAAAUCCUGCAGCUCAACUGUAGAAUUGCCUUUGAUACUGGUUAUCUUGAGUUAUUAUGAAGUAGUUAGAAUAUGUAGUGUAGCGGUGAAAUGCAUAGAUAUUACAUAGGAAUACCAAUUGCGAAGGCAGAUUACUAAUAAUAUACUGACACUGAUGGACGAAAGCGUGGGGAGCGAACAGGAUUAGAUACCCUGGUAGUCCACGCCGUAAACGAUGGUCACUAGCUGUUCGAACUUCGGUUUGAGUGGCUAAGCGAAAGUGAUAAGUGACCCACCUGGGGAGUACGUUCGCAAGAAUGAAACUCAAAGGAAUUGACGGGGGCCCGCACAAGCGGUGGAGCAUGUGGUUUAAUUCGAUGAUACGCGAGGAACCUUACCAGGGCUUAAAUGUAGAUUGACAGGACUAGAGAUAGUUUUUUCUUCGAGACAAUUUACAAGGUGCUGCAUGGUUGUCGUCAGCUCGUGCCGUGAGGUGUCAGGUUAAGUCCUAUAACGAGCGCAACCCCUGUUGUUAGUUGCCAGCGAGUCAUGUCGGGAACUCUAACAAGACUGCCAUGUGCAAACUGUGAGGAAGGUGGGGAUGACGUCAAAUCAUCACGGCCCUUACGUCCUGGGCUACACACGUGCUACAAUGGUAGGGACAGAGAGCAGCCACUUGGGCGAACCAGGAGCGAAUCUAUAAACCCUAUCACAGUUCGGAUCGGAGUCUGCAACUCGACUCCGUGAAGCUGGGAAUCGCUAGUAAUCGCAUAUCAGCCAUGAUGCGGUGAAUACGUUCCCGGGCCUUGUACACACCGCCCGUCAAGCCAUGGAAGCUGGGAGUGCCUGAAGUCCGUCGCCGUAAGGAGCGGCCUAGGGUAAAAUCGGUAACUAGGGCUAAGUCGUAACAAGGUAGCCGUACCGGAAGGUGCGGCUGGAACACCUCCUUUCU
This 1532-nucleotide ribosomal RNA is filed under the name Olleya sp. HaHaR_3_96. RNAcentral describes it as "bacterial SSU rRNA". It matches the Rfam family "Bacterial small subunit ribosomal RNA". Lineage: Bacteria; Pseudomonadati; Bacteroidota; Flavobacteriia; Flavobacteriales; Flavobacteriaceae. The record is from RNAcentral.